Acanthochromis polyacanthus (spiny chromis) is the source of this 1395-nucleotide long non-coding RNA. RefSeq lists it as uncharacterized. The transcript has 2 exons. Lineage: Eukaryota; Metazoa; Chordata; Actinopteri; Pomacentridae. The record is from RefSeq and is a predicted model, not a curated record.
CCAAACACACCACCUGGAUGCAGGUGAAGAGAUGCAUGCGCAGCGUACGGACCUGAGGGGGCAGAGGACGGCGACAUCAACUCUCAGAAGCAAUAGAAACGAGCGUUUAGCUCAAUCAUGGAGGUCCUACAUCGUAGAACGUGGCUCCUCUCACCUUGCGGACGUAGGUGUGGUCGGGGUGGUACUUUGGCGGCAUGAGGAGCAGCAUCAUCCGCUCUGUUAGCUGGAUGCCGUUGAGCGACAUCACGCCCAUGUAGAGGAAGAUGCCGAACAGAACGGCCAGCGGGAUCUGACGCAGCAGGUCUCCGAUGACGAUGGACAGGCCUGGACGAGACGAGGUGGAAAAUGAGGUUUCACGUGAAUUAAAAGCACGAAUUCCAUCAGACAGAAGAGGGGAUGCUUCGCUGUGCGACACUCACCAACCAGGAUGGCGACCAGCAGCCCGGUGACCCGCUGCUCCUUCACUUCCUGGAUGCGAGGCUUGUCUCCGGGGGCGACGGCUUUACUCAUGACGGUGAGGGCGUUGACGUGGGUCACCGAGCGGACGGUGGCGGCGGCCAUCCACGGAAGGCCGAACAGAGCAGAGCUUCCACCCAGAACCACGAUGAGCAGCAGGUCCAGGUGGAAACCAGAACCUUUCACCAGCAUCCGCUCCUUCUUACUGACGAUGAGGCUGCAGGAAGACAAACAGACGUAAACGACAGGAGAGACUCUAGUUUGAGACGCAAAGCCACUGGUUUCUUCUUUAGUUUUAUUUAAGGCACAUCGACUGAUUCAUGCAGCCUCUCUAGGGUUAAUGGCAUCUUUAAUAUCCUUUAUUUCUAUUAAAAUUAAUAGUGAUACAGACAAAUGAGAAUAACUUUAUAGCUUUAAGUCAGGACAGCAUGACAGUAUUUUAUUGAUGCUCUAAAAAUCAGACAAUCUGGCUGACAUGUUUCAUGUGUUCACAGGAUUUUUUUCUGCUCAGAAUGGGCCUCAGUAGGGAAACUAAAAGCAACAGUAAUGAUCAGAGUCUGUUCCCUUAUGUUGCAGAAAUCUAAACAUUUUCUUCUUUUUUUCUGACCCUUUAAUGAAGAAUAUUGUCUACUAUGCUUGAAUAAAUCAAACCCCACUGAACUAAACUUGUUCAAAUAAGAAAAAUGUUAUAUUUUGGAUUCAUACUUUGCUGUGACGGGUGAUUUUCCAGCUGAAACAAAACUCUUUGUGGAGCGCAAAAAGAUCCUAAAUGGAGGAAAAACUCUGGGAUACAUUCAGUAUCUCUAUAACUGGUGGAGUUUGGUCUUGUUGGACAGAGCUUACCAUGUAAUGCACAGAUUGUAAAACCCCAUGGGGUAAAUUUGUGAUUUUGGAUUAUAAAAGUAAAUUUGUGACAAAAUAAAGGUGUGUGGAUUAUGA